RNAcentral lists this ribosomal RNA (497 nucleotides) under uncultured bacterium. RNAcentral describes it as "partial 16S ribosomal RNA". It matches the Rfam family "Bacterial small subunit ribosomal RNA", at positions 28 to 507 of the family's 1533-position model. The record is from RNAcentral.
GAUGAACGCUGGCGGCGUGCCUAAUACAUGCAAGUCGAGCGAACAGAUAAGGAGCUUGCUCCUUUGACGUUAGCGGCGGACGGGUGAGUAACACGUGGGUAACCUACCUAUAAGACUUGGAUAACUUCGGGAAACCGGAGCUAAUACCGGAUCACAUUUGGUACCGCAUUGUUCUAAAGUUAAUGAUGGUUUUGCUAUCUCUUAUAGAUGGACCCGCGCCGUAUUAGCUAGUUGGUAAGGUAACGGCUUACCAAGGCGACGAUACGUAGCCGACCUGAGAGGGUGAUCGGCCACACUGGAACUGAGACACGGUCCAGACUCCUACGGGAGGCAGCAGUAGGGAAUAUUCCGCAAUAGGCGAAAGCCUGACGGAGCAACGCCGCGUGAGUGAUGAAGGGUUUCGGCUCGUAAAACUCUGUUAUUAGGGAAGAACAAAUGUGUAAGUAAAUGUGCACGUCUUGACGGUACCUAAUCAGAAAGCCACGGCUAACUACGUG